AUUUUAUAGUGAUAUCAUAUAUCAGUUCAACCAUCCCAGAUUAGAUUUGUACUUUUCUUGUGUUUAUACAUACCUGUAGAUAUCCUGAUUUAAAGCCUCCUAGUUCACCAUCUCCGAGUGUACCAACUACAUCACUAUCGAAGAUAGAUACAGUAGUAGUAUCAAGCAAUGGACCAGCUCAACUUUCUGUGGAAGAUACACCAAAGAAUGAAGAACAGCACCUUCAUGAACCAAAGUCAAGGCCACUUUCACCUUAUGCAAUGUAAGUUGAUUCCUUCUUAUAGAAGAAAGAAAGAGAGGGACUUGGAUUCUUGAUUGAGAUCUAC
This 326-nucleotide long non-coding RNA is filed under the name Lathyrus oleraceus (garden pea). RNAcentral describes it as "Pisum sativum (pea) long non-coding RNA (PSAT_LNC030917)". The record is from RNAcentral. Lineage: Eukaryota; Viridiplantae; Streptophyta; Magnoliopsida; Fabales; Fabaceae.